ACGGACCUUUCGGGGUUAGUGGCGGACGGGUGAGUAACACGUGGGAACGUGCCUUUAGGUUCGGAAUAGCUCCUGGAAACGGGUGGUAAUGCCGAAUGUGCCCUUCGGGGGAAAGAUUUAUCGCCUUUAGAGCGGCCCGCGUCUGAUUAGCUAGUUGGUUGAGGUAACGGCUCACCAAGGCGACGAUCAGUAGCUGGUCUGAGAGGAUGGCCAGCCACAUUGGGACUGAGACACGGCCCAAACUCCUACGGGAGGCAGCAGUGGGGAAUCUUGCGCAAUGGGCGAAAGCCUGACGCAGCCAUGCCGCGUGAAUGAUGAAGGUCUUAGGAUUGUAAAAUUCUUUCACCGGGGACGAUAAUGACGGUACCCGGAGAAGAAGCCCCGGCUAACUUCGUGCCAGCAGCCGCGGUAAUACGAAGGGGGCUAGCGUUGCUCGGAAUUACUGGGCGUAAAGGGCGCGUAGGCGGACAUUUAAGUCAGGGUGAAAUCCCAGAGCUCAACUCUGGAACUGCCUUUGAUACUGGGUGUCUUGAGUGUGAGAGAGUAUGUGGAACUCCGAGUGUAGAGGUGAAUUCGUAGAUAUUCG
This 586-nucleotide ribosomal RNA is filed under the name Brevundimonas sp. Man11. Its description in RNAcentral is "bacterial SSU rRNA". It matches the Rfam family "Bacterial small subunit ribosomal RNA", at positions 66 to 700 of the family's 1533-position model. Lineage: Bacteria; Pseudomonadati; Pseudomonadota; Alphaproteobacteria; Caulobacterales; Caulobacteraceae. The record is from RNAcentral.